This 312-nucleotide long non-coding RNA is filed under the name Urocitellus parryii (Arctic ground squirrel). Its description in RNAcentral is "lncRNA (ENSUPAG00010004862.1)". Lineage: Eukaryota; Metazoa; Chordata; Mammalia; Rodentia; Sciuridae. The record is from RNAcentral.
CCCCACGGCCUGGGGACACGUUCCCCCCUCCUGUUGUUCUGCAAAGCCACCGAGCUGGAACCAGGCAGGGACUCAGCCGCGGGAAGCCGUCCCCGCCGCGGGGCGGUGAUCGCCGGAGCCGAGCGGAAGCGUCUCACCCCGGCCACGAUCGCAAACGGAGGUGGGCAGCUCGGAGCACCCGGGAGAGCAGAGCACUGCUUUUUAUGGUCACCCAGGGGAAAAGUCUUGUCUGAGGGACUGGGAGUGUGUCCUUGUGCCUGAGUUUCUGGGAUCAGAAGCAGAUUAUCGGAGCCCUUUCAGAGAGCGCACAAC